GGGUCAGUAGGUUGGUCGUGCCACCGGUACGUACUGGUCUCACUGAUUCCUCCUUCCUGAAGAACCGUAAUGCCAUUAAUUUGGUGUUGCGGGGAAACAGGACUGUUACUUUGGAAAAAUUAGAGUGUUUAAAGCAAGCUAACGCUUGAAUACAUUAGCAUGGAAUAAUGAAAUAGGGCGAUCGAUCCUAUUUUGUUGGUUUCUAGGAUUGACGUA
RNAcentral lists this ribosomal RNA (216 nucleotides) under Glomeromycotina sp. RNAcentral's name for it is "partial small subunit ribosomal RNA". The stretch from base 40 to 216 matches the Rfam family "Eukaryotic small subunit ribosomal RNA", at positions 686 to 864 of the family's 1831-position model. The record is from RNAcentral. Lineage: Eukaryota; Fungi; Glomeromycota.